Molecule: ribosomal RNA, 433 nt
Filed under: uncultured bacterium
Lineage: Bacteria
Description: partial 16S ribosomal RNA
Rfam family: Bacterial small subunit ribosomal RNA
Source: RNAcentral
AACGAACGCUGGCGGCAUGCCUAACACAUGCAAGUCGAACGAGACCUUCGGGUCUAGUGGCGCACGGGUGCGUAACGCGUGGGAACCUGCCCUUAGGUUCGGAAUAACUCCCCGACAGGGGUGCUAAUACCGGAUAAUGUCUUCGGACCAAGGAUUUAUCGCCUUUGGAUGGGCCCGCGUUGGAUUAGCUAGUUGGUAGGGUAAAAGCCUACCAAGGCGACGAUCCAUAGCUGGUCUGAGAGGAUGAUCAGCCACACUGGGAGUGAGACACGGCCCAGACUCCUACGGAAGGCAGCAGUGGGGAAUAUAGGAAAAUGGGCGAAAGCCUGAUCCAGCAAUGACGCGUGAGUGAUGAAGGCCGUAGGGUUGUAAAGCUCUUUUAACCGGGAUGAUAAUGACAGUACCGGGAGAAUAAGCUCCGGCUAACUCCGUG